UACAGAGGGGGCAAGCGUUGUUCGGAAUUACUGGGCGUAAAGGGCGCGUAGGCGGCCUGCUAAGUCGAACGUGAAAUCCCCGGGCUCAACCCGGGAACUGCGUCCGAUACUGGCAGGCUUGAAUCCGGGAGAGGGAUGUGGAAUUCCAGGUGUAGCGGUGAAAUGCGCAGAUAUCAGGAGGAACACCAGUGGCGAAGGCGCCACUCUGGGCCGUGACUGACGCUGAGGAGCGAAAGCGUGGGUAGCAAACAGG
RNAcentral lists this ribosomal RNA (253 nucleotides) under uncultured bacterium. Its description in RNAcentral is "partial 16S ribosomal RNA". It matches the Rfam family "Bacterial small subunit ribosomal RNA", at positions 524 to 776 of the family's 1533-position model. The record is from RNAcentral.